AACGAACGCUGGCGGCAUGCCUAACACAUGCAAGUCGAACGAGAUCUUCGGGUCUAGUGGCGCACGGGUGCGUAACGCGUGGGAAUCUGCCCUUUGGUUCGGAAUAACAGUUGGAAACGACUGCUAAUACCGGAUGAUGACGAAAGUCCAAAGAUUUAUCGCCAGAGGAUGAGCCCGCGUAGGAUUAGCUAGUUGGUGUGGUAAAGGCGCACCAAGGCGACGAUCCUUAGCUGGUCUGAGAGGAUGAUCAGCCACACUGGGACUGAGACACGGCCCAGACUCCUACGGGAGGCAGCAGUGGGGAAUAUUGGAGAAUGGGCGAAAUCCUGAUCCAGCAAUGCCGCGUGAGUUAUGAAGGCCUUAGCGUUGUAAAGCUCUUUUACCCGGGAUGAUAAUGACAGUACCGGGAGAAUAAGCUCCGGCUAACUCCGUGCCAGCCGCCGCGGUAA
Molecule: ribosomal RNA, 449 nt
Filed under: uncultured bacterium
Lineage: Bacteria
Description: partial 16S ribosomal RNA
Rfam family: Bacterial small subunit ribosomal RNA
Source: RNAcentral